This 157-nucleotide long non-coding RNA is filed under the name Mustela putorius furo (domestic ferret). Its description in RNAcentral is "lncRNA (ENSMPUG00000026766.1)". Lineage: Eukaryota; Metazoa; Chordata; Mammalia; Carnivora; Mustelidae. The record is from RNAcentral.
CUCCAAUUGUCCUGGCAAUAUUUGUUGAAAAAACUUAUUACUGAUUUUUAGCAACCUGUUUGUGAAUGGAGAAUAAAGACUUAAUAAGAGUAAUCCUUUGAGGGGCUUCACAGACCCAGGAAGAGACUGCCCGUCCCAGAGCUAGCUGAUUCCUAAA